This 386-nucleotide ribosomal RNA is filed under the name uncultured bacterium. RNAcentral's name for it is "bacterial SSU rRNA". It matches the Rfam family "Bacterial small subunit ribosomal RNA", at positions 28 to 416 of the family's 1533-position model. The record is from RNAcentral.
GACGAACGCUGGCGGCGUGCUUAACACAUGCAAGUCGAGCGGAAAGGCCCUUUCGGGGGUACUCGAGCGGCGAACGGGUGAGUAACACGUGAGUAAUCUGCCCUUGGCUUUGGGAUAACCACCGGAAACGGUGGCUAAUACCGGAUAUGACGGGCUCCGGCAUCGGGGUUCGUGGAAAGUUUUUUCGGCCAGGGAUGUGCUCGCGGCCUAUCAGCUUGUUGGUGGGGUAAUGGCCUACCAAGGCUUCGACGGGUAGCCGGCCUGAGAGGGUGACCGGCCACACUGGGACUGAGACACGGCCCAGACUCCUACGGGAGGCAGCAGUGGGGAAUAUUGGACAAUGGGCGGAAGCCUGAUCCAGCAACGCCGCGUGAGGGAUGACGGCC